Molecule: long non-coding RNA, 2344 nt
Organism: Dreissena polymorpha
Lineage: Eukaryota; Metazoa; Mollusca; Bivalvia; Myida; Dreissenidae
Exons: 4
Source: RefSeq, a predicted model, not a curated record
AACAUUGUAUUCCGACGCAAUUGUUUGUUGUUAAUUACAAAUGUUUACGUACACUUGCUUUGUUUCUUUAUUACAUGUGUAACCCAAUACAUACAUAUUACAUGUACAAGGGAAUAAGGAUCAGUAGGACAUUUUAGCACUAUUGAUACACAACAACACAAGAUCGUUAUCAAUAUUUCACUGCAGUAAUGGAAAACAGCGUUGAUUUCUACAAAAACUUGUAUAACAACGCCCUCGCGGGAAUGACGCAUGUCUCUUGUGCAUUUUAGAUAAAGCAGGAGCCACCACGCCUAAACCUACUGCCCAGGCCUCGCCCGUCGCCCCGCCAAUUGGGAAGAUGCCCGCUUCGACAGGCAUACUUAAACCACAACCAGCGGAUUUACGAGUAUAUUCGUGGGAUCCUUGUGCAAGCUACGAGGGGUCAUACUUUCCUCACCCGACUGAGUGCGACCAAUAUUUCCAGUGCUCCAACGGUGCCUCCAUUCUACAGAAAUGCACAACAGGGCUGCUUUACCAUUGGAGGGAACUAACGUGCGUCAGCAGGUUCAUGCCAGGCGUGCUAUGCCCGGAAGCUAAAAGAGCCCCGCAAAAACCCACGCCUACAACACCUUCUACAACGACUUCAACAACACCGUCCACUACGACGUCAACAACAACGUCUCAAAGACCAACAAAAAAACACAAUUAUGACCGCUUCUACAAAGACGACCAAUACAAUCGUUGUUACCGUUAGCUUCUUUACUGGGCCGAGUACGAUGGAUCCAUUACUGGCAGAUUCUCCUGAGCACAAUACUGAAACCGCACCUGGACCGGAUGCGAAUGCUCUUAUUUUGACAGCCAUUGCUGCUCUGUAACAAUAUAGACCAAAGUAUUCCUAGACGCCAUGUGUGAGCGGAUAUGAUUUGCAACUAUACCCAUUUUCGGAUGAUUGUGCCAAGUUCAUCCAAUGCGUCAACGAAAAAGCACAAGUCAUUAAUUGCUCACAUGGACUUUUGUUUGACUCCGCAAGUAACGCGUGUAUCCUUCCGCCCAACACAGAAUUACUGUGUCCAGAUAUUCGACCGUGUGCGACGAUAGGGCAAGGUUACUUUAUUCAUCCUUUUGACUGUACGAAGUUCAUACAGUGUGAUCGCAAUAAUGAGAUCGUUCGAUCGUGCCCUCCAGGAUUUUAUUGGAACGAAGAAAUUAACGCUAUUGUAUAUUACAUGAGAUGUUUGUAAGCAUAGAUAUAUGUUUUAAAUCAAUGGUGUUAUGCAUACAGUGAUAACAAAAUAAUAUAUUGUGUGUGGGGGAAACAGAAAAGUCACUUGUAUGUGAUUAAACGUUGAACAGGUUCAAAUAUGAGCAUAAUAUAUAUCGUUUAUUACAUAGUUUGUGUGUUGUCGUUAGCUGUUAGCCUGACACCUGAUUCUUUGGAGCAUAUUUCAUUAUGCUAUUAAUCACCAGUAUGAUAUGUAUUGCGUGUCGUAAUUGAAAUGCUAAGCCUACGGGAUUGAACUUUUGGUCAUUUCUAUACUUUUGUUGUUUACUGAAUUUAUAAAUGUUUUUCGAGUGUUUUGCACUACAUUUCACAUUAUGUAUAUCUACAUUUUCAGAAGUGAAUAUAAUAGUAGUAGUGGACAUUAUUUAUCUAGAUCACUCAUGAUAAAGUGCUCAAAUAGUCAUAGCUGCGUAAAUCAUAUUUAUAUAUUGAUGAACUUCAUCAGUAUCCAACAUGAAUCCUUGCAAAAAAUAAUGUAACAUUUAUUAGUAUAAGAACACUAUUAGAUAUAAUUAAAGUCGCGAAUCGGCAAUUUUGUGAAUAAAUCAUGACUUAUAGAUUAACGAACGAUACAGCAAUCAGUAUUACAUAUAUAACAUGACUUUGUAAUGACAACAUAUUUGUUUACUUAAUAUAGCCUGUGGGUAAAUGCAUAUGUCCUUGUAAUGUUCAAGCUACGCUAAUCUGUUAACACAGUGUGGGGUGGAGAAGCGUUUAAUAGAGCAUAGCUAACAGCAAACUUUUUGCGAUUAUAUAAUAAUACACAUUUCGGUCGUAAGUGGACAGCAUUCCGUAUAAUUGCAUUACGUAUGUUACAUUUGUAAGCAGAUAUCAUUCAUUUUAUGUCUACGUAACUUAAUUAAUAUUGCGUUUUGAUAAAUGUUAUUUAUUAUUGUAAACCCUUAACAUGUUAUGUUGUUCCUGACACUGGUUAUCUGUGUGCAUAUUUUCAUUCCGCUUAAAAUGUAUAGUUAUAUUGCAUUGUAUUUUUAAUGUGUAGUAUUGCUGUUUUGAUUAUGUGUCAUGUUUUUUAUAUAUGUCGUGUUUAGAAUAUGAGUUAAUAAAAUAUAUGUAUGAUUUAAA